ACUUUCUGUACAGCGAUAUCCUGUGUACUGUAUGUCCUCUGACAGCAUCUAGAAGUUCCUGCUAGGAACUAUCUGGUGGAAAGGGAAGCCUUGGGAAUAAAGUACUGAGAAAAUCCCAAGAUGAGCUAAAGGAACAAAGAGAACUACAUCUGGAAAACCGAGAGGUCUCCAUGCUUUGAAGAAGUCUACCAACUGUCAGAAAGAAAAAAGGAUAUAGAACAACACAGCAUUAAUAACUUAUUUUCCUAUCCAAAUCCAGUAUAGAUUAUUUAAAAAGAAUUAAAACAGCAAUUAAGGUGUCAACGUUAAGUCACAGAUUCCACUUUCAGACCAAUAUUUAUACGAUUCAGAAUUGUUGUACCUACACCAUAUAAUCUGAGGCUGAAAGAGGCAGAGGGCUAACUGUGAGUGACUGAUGGAGCACUUCUAGACAGCUAAAUAUCUCGUUCCUAUAGAAGAAGUUUCAACUGAAAUUUAUAGCUUUAUACAUCAAAUUGAUUUAAGGUAAAAAGCUGUAGUAAUAUGAAAACUGCCAACAGUAAUUUUCUUUCUUCCUUCUGCUAGUUAGGAACAAAUAUGAAAACAUUCUAAAAUACGAAAUGAGCCCUUUGUUGGUGAGAGUAUUGCAAUUACUUCUCAUUGAGGCACCAUAACAGAAACUCUUUCCUGCAUUUCUCUUUCCCU
Molecule: long non-coding RNA, 684 nt
Filed under: Phasianus colchicus (ring-necked pheasant)
Lineage: Eukaryota; Metazoa; Chordata; Aves; Galliformes; Phasianidae
Description: lncRNA (ENSPCLG00000020475.1)
Source: RNAcentral